UGCCCUUAAAGGGGCCGCAGCCGCCCUCAGGGACACCGCGGGGACACCGCGGGGACACCUGUGAGGGACGGAGCCUCCUCUUCCCCCUGAACCUGCCCCUCGUGAUCCAGGGAAUCCUCAGGUUCCAAUAAAUCCGUCCCUUCCCGCUGGCCCAGGGUGGAACCCGCACGGCAGCGCCUGAGGGACGGCCCGGACCCCUCAGCCAGCCCGGGCCCGAGCAUCCCGCACCUGCCUGGGGCCACCUUCGUCUUUCACCCUAAACCUUCAUCUUCCCACGGGAGGCAGCGGCUCUGCGGCUCGGGGCAGGCCAGAACCGGCUCGUUCGGCACAGGUUGAUCCGGUUUGGCCCCCGGCUGAAGGUUCCAGAUCUAACGGGCCUGGAAGAGCUGGUUCUGCGCAGACGGGAUCCAAAACCGAACGCUUUUAUCCCAGGAGAAGGUAAAGCCGCUGGGUGUUCUCCAGGCUCCAGGGAGGUGCUGUGCCGUUUCCGCGGUGUUCCACACUCCUGAGGGAGUGGAGCUGGUGUCAGAACAUCGCUGGAGCUGCUCCUGUUCCAGUAGGAAUUCCGAGCUCGGAGUGCCACGAAGAUUCGGGCCCGGAAGAUUCACAGGCUCAGCACUGCUCAGUGCCAAACGCACCAAAACCUUUUUGCCUGAGGGAAAUCCACAUCUCGCCAAGGCCUCCGGAGCCCCGCGGCGGAGCGAGGGAAGCGUGGAGCCCGGAGCCAGCGCUCCCCGAGUGCCUCUGUGCGUCCGCAGCUCCUGUGCCUGCCCCGGCCCAGCUCUGCCCCCCACAACAAACAGCAAAAUACACUCAGCAGGUUUCUGUCAACUCCCAGAGUUUCGGAACCCUCCGCCCCAAGCGCUGCCGUGGGGAGGGAGGAAGGGGCUUGCAGCUCUUCCCCCGCCUCCGACAGCGCUCGUGGAAACCCUGUUUUAAAUUAAAAAAUAAGCCAGCAUACAUAGUAGAAAAUUUCUCUUAAAAAUUUCACAAUCUGUAAAUGUAUAUAUUUUUUUUUUUUCUUUUAAACAUAAAAGUUUACAAUAUACGGUAAAACAAAGGCUCAGGAAAAAUAAUUUCAAAAAAAAGAAACCUGAAGUUUUGAAUUAAAGCUGAAGACAUUUUUAAAACCCUGUAA
Parus major (Great Tit) is the source of this 1138-nucleotide long non-coding RNA. RefSeq lists it as uncharacterized. The record is from RefSeq and is a predicted model, not a curated record. Lineage: Eukaryota; Metazoa; Chordata; Aves; Passeriformes; Paridae. The transcript has 2 exons.